RNAcentral lists this ribosomal RNA (253 nucleotides) under uncultured bacterium. Its description in RNAcentral is "partial 16S ribosomal RNA". It matches the Rfam family "Bacterial small subunit ribosomal RNA", at positions 524 to 776 of the family's 1533-position model. The record is from RNAcentral.
UACAGAGGGUGCGAGCGUUGUUCGGAAUUAUUGGGCGUAAAGGGCGCGUAGGCGGCGCCACAAGUCACCUGUGAAACUCUGGGCUCAACCCAGAGCCUGCAGGCGAAACUGUGGUGCUGGAGUAUGGGAGAGGUGCGUGGAAUUCCCGGUGUAGCGGUGAAAUGCGUAGAUAGUCGGGAGGAACACCUGUGGCGAAAGCGGCGCACUGGACCAUAACUGACGCUGAGGCGCGAAAGCUAGGGGAGCAAACAGG